UGCUUGGGUAGUUUAUUUAAAACGUUAAUUUGUGGAGUUAAAGAUGUAGCUUAUACCUCAGGCAG
This 65-nucleotide transfer RNA is filed under the name Sipalinus gigas. Its description in RNAcentral is "tRNA-His". It matches the Rfam family "tRNA". From Rfam's summary of the family: Transfer RNA (tRNA) molecules are approximately 80 nucleotides in length. Their secondary structure includes four short double-helical elements and three loops (D, anti-codon, and T loops). Lineage: Eukaryota; Metazoa; Arthropoda; Insecta; Coleoptera; Curculionidae. The record is from RNAcentral.